UACGGAGGGUGCAAGCGUUAUCCGGAUUUACUGGGUUUAAAGGGUGCGUAGGCGGGCUAUUAAGUCAGUGGUGAAAUCCCGGGGCUCAACCUCGGAACUGCCAUUGAUACUAUUAGCCUUGAAUUAUGUUGAGGUUGGCGGAAUAUAACAUGUAGCGGUGAAAUGCUUAGAUAUGUUAUGGAACACCGAUUGCGAAGGCAGCUGACUGAGCCUUGAUUGACGCUGAGGUACGAAAGUGUGGGUAGCGAACAGG
This 253-nucleotide ribosomal RNA is filed under the name uncultured Bacteroidota bacterium. RNAcentral describes it as "uncultured Bacteroidetes bacterium partial 16S ribosomal RNA". It matches the Rfam family "Bacterial small subunit ribosomal RNA", at positions 524 to 776 of the family's 1533-position model. Lineage: Bacteria; Pseudomonadati; Bacteroidota. The record is from RNAcentral.